GACGAACGCUGGCGGCGUGCUUAACACAUGCAAAUCGAACGGAAAGGCCCUGCUUUUGUGGGGUGCUCGAGUGGCGAACGGGUGAGUAACACGUGAGUAACCUGCCCUUGACUUUGGGAUAACUUCAGGAAACUGGGGCUAAUACCGGAUAGGAGCUCCUGCUGCAUGGUGGGGGUUGGAAAGUUUCGGCGGUUGGGGAUGGACUCGCGGCUUAUCAGCUUGUUGGUGGGGUAGUGGCUUACCAAGGCUUUGACGGGUAGCCGGCCUGAGAGGGUGACCGGCCACAUUGGGACUGAGGUACGGCCCAGACUCCUACGGGAGGCAGCAGUGGGGAAUAUUGCACAAUGGGCGGAAGCCUGAUGCAGCGACGCCGCGUGCGGGAUGACGGCCUUCGGGUUGUAAACCGCUUUCGCCUGUGACGAAGCGUGAGUGACGGUAAUGGGUAAAGAAGCACCGGCUAACUACGUG
This 468-nucleotide ribosomal RNA is filed under the name uncultured bacterium. Its description in RNAcentral is "partial 16S ribosomal RNA". It matches the Rfam family "Bacterial small subunit ribosomal RNA", at positions 28 to 507 of the family's 1533-position model. The record is from RNAcentral.